Molecule: RNA transcript, 4125 nt
Organism: Sebastes umbrosus (honeycomb rockfish)
Lineage: Eukaryota; Metazoa; Chordata; Actinopteri; Perciformes; Sebastidae
Gene: osbpl11
Gene name: oxysterol binding protein-like 11
Exons: 14
Source: RefSeq, a predicted model, not a curated record
UUUCCUGCCAGAGCAGUAAAUACAUCAGCUGAGCUAGCAGCAGCAUGCUAACUGGCUACUCCCUCUAUCAGCGCAAUAUAACAUGUUUUCUCUUUAAUAUUUAACCAGUUUAAAGUCCGGCGUCUGCUGGGUGAGUGGUGUAUUUAGAUAAGUGAUGAACUGACAGCUUUACUUUAUGAUAAAUUAAGAAACUAGUCCAUUUAAUACUGUUAGCUUAGCUUAGCUUCACGCUUAGCUUCAGGCUAGCUGAGUUAGAGUCUGCAGUCUGCAGGAGGCUGAGCUGCUGGUGACUAUGCAAGGAGAGACUACAGCUGUACGGAGCUCGGAGAACGAGGGAAAGCUGGAUGUUUUACCCCAGAACAGGACCCCAAGCUCGGGCAGAGCUAGUGCCAAGAGCUGGCAGUACAGUGAUCACAUGGAGAAUAUUGAUGGCUACUUGAUGAAAUACACCAACCUUGUAACAGGGUGGCAAUACAGGUUCUUUGUUUUGAACAAUGAGGCGGGCUUGCUGGAGUAUUUUGUCAAUGAGCAGUCGCGGUCCCAGAAGCCCCGUGGCAUGCUCCCCCUGGCAGGGGCCGUCAUCUCCCCCAGUGAUGAGGACUCGCAUACCUUCACUGUCAACGCCAUCAGCGGGGAGCAGUACAAGCUCAGGGCCACCGACGCCAAAGAGAGACAGCACUGGGUGAGCCGACUGCAGAUCUGCACGCAGCACCACACGGAGGCCAUGGGGAAGAGUAACCCCCCACCCAAGUCCCGGAGCUACUCGAUGGCGUCUCAAGGCAGCGGCAGUUCCCCGAUGUCCGUGCGCCGGCCCAGCCAAAACCCUGCCUCCUUAUUCGGCUGGCCGCAGGUCAACAAGGGCUCGUCACUCUACUCCAGCAAGAGGUCUCUGCUGCCGGACCACCUGAUGGACGCCAGAGAGAUGAUGAGCCAGGCCCAGGGCCAACACCGAGACCUGAUCCAGAGCAUCGAGGGCCUGCCUCCAGUCCCCGGCUUCUCCCCUCUAGACCAGGACCUGCUGAUGCUCAAGGCCACUUCCAUGGCCACCAUGAACUGCCUCAACGAGUGCCUGCACAUCCUGCACCUGCAGCAGGUGGCCAGGCAGAGAGGCUCCCUGGGAGGACCCACCAUCGAGUGGUUGGAGCCCAAGCUGCCGGACAUCCUGAAGAACGGCAGCAGCUCCCUGGGCAGCUUCACGACGGGGGAGGGCGCGCUGGAGGGGAGCCGCCUGGAGCUCAGCAGCCCCGAGUCCUGCAGCUUCUCUGGGGAACAGGAAGACAUCGAUGCGGAGGAUGAGGCGGAGGACUCCUUCACCGACAAGGAGGAGGACCUCGGCGCCGUGGAGGAGGAGCGCAGCGUCAUCCUACACCUGCUGUCCCAGCUGAAGCUGGGUAUGGACCUCACGCGGGUGGUCCUCCCCACCUUCAUCCUAGAGAAGCGCUCUCUGCUGGAGAUGUACGCCGACUUCAUGUCCCACCCGGACCUCUUUGUGGCCAUCACCGACGGCAGCAGCCCGGAGGACCGCAUGGUCCGGUUUGUGGAGUACUACCUCACCUCCUUCCACGAGGGCCGCAAGGGGGCCAUUGCCAAGAAGCCCUACAACCCCAUCAUCGGUGAGACCUUCCACUGCUCCUGGAAGGUGCCCAGGAGUCCAGAGGACUCCAAGGAGCCCUCGCAGGGAAGCCCCGAACCGCCCACCUCCCAGGACCCCUACCAAGUGCGCUUUGUGGCAGAGCAGGUGUCCCACCACCCCCCCGUGUCUGGCUUCUACGCUGAAUGCCAAGAGAGGCGGAUGUGUGUGAACACGCAUGUGUGGACCAAGAGCAAGUUCAUGGGGAUGUCCAUCGGCGUGUCCAUGAUAGGGGAAGGUUGUCUGUAUUUGCUGGAGCACGAUGAAGAGUACACUUUCACGCUGCCUUGUGCAUACGCACGCUCCAUCCUCACUGUUCCCUGGGUGGAACUGGGCGGCAAAGUCAACAUCAACUGCGCUAAGUCGGGCUACUCGGCCGUCAUCACUUUCCAGACUAAACCAUUUUACGGUGGCAAAUUACACAAGGUAACAGGGGAGGUGAAGCACAACACCACCAAUGCGGUGGUGUGUCGCGUGCAGGGCGAGUGGAACGGCGUCCUGGAGUUCAGCUACACCAGCGGAGAGACGAGGGUGGUCGACGUCACCAAGCUGCCUGUUACGAAGAAGAGCGUUCGGCCGACUGAGAAGCAGGGACCGACUGAAUCCAGGCGCCUGUGGCAGCACGUGACGGAGUCCUUACGGCAGAAGGAUAUCGAAAAAGCCACGGAGCACAAGAGGAUUCUCGAGGAAAGGCAGAGGACGGAGGAGAGGCACCGGGCUGAGACCGAAACCGCUUGGAGGACCAGAUACUUUGACAGAGAGGGUGAAGGCUGGAACUAUCACAAACCACUCUGGAAAAACUCUACAUUCAAAUCCUAGUUUCUUCAGUCCGUAUCUUGGAUGUUGAUAUUGUAGAUUCAGGUAUGUGUGUGUGUGUGUGUGUGAGUGAGAGUGAGAGUGAGAGUGUGUGUGUCUGUGUGAGCGCACACACACGGUCAUGAAAUGAGAGGAUGACCUGCACUGACGUACAGAUGAAUGCAACAUGGGGAGGAGGACCGAGAGACAGCAUGACAGAAAGUGUUCUCGAAUCUCGCUCAUAAUUUUCACGAAGCCUCGGAGGAGUACAAGCUUCUGUACUGCUGAUCAGUUGUUUUUUUAUAAUCCAAUGUCGGUGAAAACAUAUUCUUGUACAGGUAAUAAUGGUACUCUAUUUACACAGCCUUAAGAUAGUCUGAUGAACGAUCUGCUGAUCAACCUGGAUAUCUUUUCUUCUUCUUUUUUUGUUCCAAGCUUGUGGUAUCACACUAAGGUCAAGUGACUUUUGAGGAGUUUCUUCCUACAAUAAGAUAUCCAACUUAACAAAAACCUAAAUAAUUGGAAUACUGCCUGAUAAAUGUACUGCUGUGAAAAUGUUGUAAAUUUGAUUUAGUGUACUGGAAUGUAAAUUUGCCGUAUAUGAUCUUCAUCUAUGUUAAACCGCCUGGAGACUUUGCUUCAAAUCAAAGUAUUUCUCUCUAACAAAUAUAAACAUUCAUGACUAAAUAAGCAAUCAAAUAAAAAAAACAAACUGUUAAGGUACUAACUUUUGAGUUUAACAACAAAUAACUCGGCUAAUCUGCUUCAUCAGGACUGUAUGCUUGUGUUUUCAUCAGAUUUGAUUGACUGUAAUCAAACAAACCAUCAGAUUCAGAUGUUUAAUCCUGAUUUGGUGCACGGAAGAAUGUGACAUCAACUUCAAAUCUGUGAGGAGAGCACGAAGAAAAGAGGGAAAACUAAAAUCGUAAUUGUAAAUCCUGUGGUUUUGCAGUGGAUGGAAAAACUCCUACAUGCAUGAUGGCAAAGUCUCUGUUCACAUUGAUUGCAGCAAGUAUACUACUCCUGUGUCUGCGUUACUUCAAUUUAUAAACGUCUGUUGUAAAAGCUUUUAACCAAAUUUGCUUGUUUUGUAACACAAAUAAAUAUUAUUUUCUUCGAAUGCGUAUUUAUCCCCAUCUUUGCGCUUUAAUUGCUCUUAUUUUUAGAGCCACAUUUUGUAUAGAGACGUUAACAUUUCUCAUUUCAUCAUCUUAAUUCCAAUCUGUGAUGUAUAUGAUGAACUCUUCUUUGUCUCCCAUCCCUCUCCUCUAGCCUCACACUCUCAAUGCAUCCGAGCAUCAAGUAGGACACAGUUCCUAUUCUCUCCACCCUGCCAUUGAUAAGCUACUCCCUUCACGUCUUGGUGCCUUAUGCAAACUCUUUGUGUGUGUGUCUUCCAGCUAAGGAGCACAGCGUUUUCAUCCGUUUUCCACCUGACAGAAGGCAAAUGUAUUAUUUGUGUGUGUUUCCUUUUAAGAAUCAGUGCUUCAUGUUGAGUGACUUUUGGAUUCUACUGGUAUUCUUGCUGACCUAUGAAAUGCACUGACAUUGAAGGAAACCUGAUGUUGUAGAAAAAUGGAAAUGUGUGGAAAAUAAUCAAAUAAAUUGCGUAUCAGUUGUACACCAAGUUUUCUUACUGUUUGUCAUGCAUUCAGAAGCACCUUUUUUUUUAUUUUAUCCUAAUAAAGAAAUAUGGUGUA